GAUGAACGCUGGCGGCGUGCCUAAUACAUGCAAGUCGAGCGAACAGACGAGGAGCUUGCUCCUCUGACGUUAGCGGCGGACGGGUGAGUAACACGUGGAUAACCUACCUAUAAGACUGGGAUAACUUCGGGAAACCGGAGCUAAUACCGGAUAAUAUAUUCAACCGCAUGGUUCAAUAGUGAAAGACGGUUUGGCUGUCACUUAGAGAUGGAUCCGCGCCGCAUUAGCUAGUUGGUAAGGUAACGGCUUACCAAGGCAACGAUGCGUAGCCGACCUGAGAGGGUGAUCGGCCACACUGGAACUGAGACACGGUCCAGACUCCUACGGGAGGCAGCAGUAGGGAAUCUUCCGCAAUGGGCGAAAGCCUGACGGAGCAACGCCGCGUGAGUGAUGAAGGUCUUCGGAUCGUAAAACUCUGUUAUUAGGGAAGAACAAAUGUGUAAGUAACUAUGCACGUCUUGACGGUACCUAAUCAGAAAGCCACGGCUAACUACGUG
RNAcentral lists this ribosomal RNA (497 nucleotides) under uncultured bacterium. RNAcentral describes it as "partial 16S ribosomal RNA". It matches the Rfam family "Bacterial small subunit ribosomal RNA", at positions 28 to 507 of the family's 1533-position model. The record is from RNAcentral.